GAGGUAGAUUUUAAGAGCUUUGGAGUCAGAUUGGUAUGGCAUGUUGUGAUCAUAAUUAAAUCAGUAUAAAGGCUUAGGUGAAGAGUAAUGAUGUGGGAUGCCGAGAUUUCUGCUGGUGUUUGAAGGUCACAAGACUACAGAGAUGUAAAGCACAAAGCAGUUACCCCUGCCAGUCUCUCAGGAGAUGAGCCAUUAGUUGUAGUUAUUACCCGCCUCUUUGGAUCAUUUCCUGGCAAUUUUAAGGUGUUGUUAUGGCAAAGAGAGUCUCACUCUGCUGACCAGGCUGGAGUACAGUAGUGCCAUCUUGGCUCACUGCAACCUCGACCUCCCAGGUUCAAGCAAUCCUUCCACCUCUGUCUCCCAAGUAGCUGGGACUACAGAAAGUCCUACAGUGCCUCUCUCCAGUCAGUUUCUCCCCAUGUUGGCAACUGUUUUCAAUCAUCAUAGAUAAAUUUUCAGUUUGGAUUCAUGCAGUAAGUACACUAUUCAUUUUUGUCUGGCUUUUUCUCUUACCAUAACAUUUUCAAGAUCAAUUCAUGAUGAUUAUACAUAGUUGAGAUCCACUGCUGAUAUUUUGCAUAUUUACAUAAGUGAGGUUGUAUGCAAUUAUUAUUGUUUAUUGUUUGUUGUUGCUUAAUAGUGUGUCACUGGAUGGAUACAUACCAUGACUUGCUUGUCUAUACUUCUGGUAUUGGUCAUUUGGAUGGUUUCUGUAUUGUAUAUCGUAAAUCACGAAGAAGGGUUCCACAUUCUUUUCUAAGUCUAUUCGAUGAUUUUGUUUAUGUAACUACCUAGGAAUUAAAACACUGUGUUAAAUAGUAGAUAUAUAUUUAAUUUAUAAGAAAUUGCUUUGCAAUUUCUCAAAGUGAGUAAGGAAUUUUAUACUCUCGCUGGCAAUUAAUAGGUCAGAGGAUACUUAGCCUCACCAACAUUUUGCUUUGUCAUAUUUUUUGGUUCAGCCAUUCUGGUGGGAGUGAACUGAUAUUUCAUUGUGGAUUCAGUUUAGAUUUACAUAUUGACCAUUUAUGUUGAACAUCUUUGCACGUGUUUAUAGGCCAUUUGCAUAUAUUAAUUUGUCAAGAGUGUUCAAGCCUUCAACUCAUUUUAUAUUGAGUUGUUAAUUAUUUUAUCAUUAAUUUGCAUACCAUUUAUUACAUAUAUUGGAUAAAAGCUUUUGGUCACAAAUAUGUGUUGUAAUAUAUUUCCUCCAGUAUCUGCUUGUCUACUCAUUUUAUUAUUUUAUUUCAUAAUUUGUGCUUUUUAUUUUCUAUUCAAGAAAAUACACUUCUGUUUUCUUCUGAAGCUUUAUUAUCCUGGUUAUGUCAAUUUCUGGAAGGGUUAUGGAUAAGUGAAUUUCAUUUAUUUCUUAUAUGGAUACCCGAUUAUUUCAACGUUUGUGAAAAUAUUUUUCCUCUAUUGUAUUUACUUGGCAUUUUUGUCAAAAUCAGUUUAUUAAAUAUAUGAAGGUCUAUUUCUGAACACUCUACUUAAUUCCAUUUAUUUAGUUCCAUACACUAAUACCAUGCUCUCUUCUUUCUGUAGUUUUAUAGUAACCCUUGAAAUCAAGUAACUAAGACCUUUAAUUUUGAUAUUUUUAAAGACUGAAUUACCUAUUCUGUAUCCUCAUUACCUCCACAUCAAUUUUAGAAUUAUCUUCUCUAUAUAUUUUAAAUAAUUGCUUGGGAAUUUGGUAAGGAAUCUGACUAGAAUCUGCAUAUCAAUUUAUGAAGAACAGUCACAGUAAUAAUAUGAAAUUUUCAUAUUUACAGACAUGGUAUAUCUUUCAUUUAUUUAAAUCAUCAUUAAUUCCUCACAGAAAUAAUUUGUAGCUUUCACAUGAGAAGUAUGGCAUAUUCAAAAAUAUUUCCAGAUAUGUAUUUUUAUGCUACUGUAUUUUACAAUUAAAACAUUUUGUUUGGGUACUUUUUAUUACAAUUAUAUACAAAUAAAGUUAAUUGGU
This is a long non-coding RNA of Pan troglodytes (chimpanzee), 1960 nucleotides long. RefSeq lists it as uncharacterized. The transcript is spliced from 3 exons. The record is from RefSeq and is a predicted model, not a curated record. Lineage: Eukaryota; Metazoa; Chordata; Mammalia; Primates; Hominidae.